GAGAGAGAGAGAGAGAGAAAGAGAAAGAGAAAGAGAAAGAGAAAGAGAAAGAGAAAGAAAUAUUCGGGUAACUUCAGUUGUGUUGGGAGAUCAAUAGGGCUUUAAAAUUCUAUAUUUUUUUAGUAGAGGGUUUUAUGGCGCUCACAACUGCAUACGGUCAUAUGAGCGCCAAAAUAGGGCUUUACGUUGGUUCGGUUUGAUGGCCUCUUUACUCAUAGGAGAUAGGGGCUCUUAAAGAAUGGGAUUGUAAAAUAUUUACUAUAUUUGCAGAAGAAUUGUGUAGGAAGUCGCAUUUGCAUAGUGAACAAUAUCAGCAAGCUCAUUGUAAAUAACUUCAGUAAAUAGCAUAUAAUAACUGUAUUAUUUUUCUGUGCAACGCUUUAGAUGCCAUCGUGUUAUUUAUUUUCUUCCAUUUUGCACUUGUUUCUUUUCUUUUAAAAAAAAUUCUAUUUUUACUCUUCGCCGCUUCAGUCUAAGUAUGCUUUUCCUGUUCUUCGGGAUCUCGAGGUGCGGCCAUCUCGUCACGGGCAACUGGAUUUAUGCCCGUGUUACCAGAGAGAAUGCAACAGGUCGGAGCUGUCAAGUGUGUCCUGGCUGUGUGUGUGUGUGUGUGUGUGUGUGUGUGUCGUGUGCCUGCAGAAAGGGGCGUUUUCUCGUAUGGAAAGAACGAAUGUUCUCCUGCUUUUAAGGAUCCAUAUUGUUUAGAUUGUUUUGUUGAAUGAGCGUACUCGGAAUUCUUCGUGCUGAUUGAUUGUGGCCACUAAAUUCCUGACAGUAAAAAUACAUGACAGUUAAGCACACCUGACUUUUUUAUGCGUCUAUGCUUCGAGGAUACGGUUGACUUAUUCGACUCUGCAGGGCUGAACCCAUUUACAUUACAAAAACUGUUGUCCCCGAUGGAUAUGUUUUUCAGUGGAAAAGGAAAUUUGGAUUAAAACGAAGAUGGAAACUCAAGUAAA
Molecule: long non-coding RNA, 959 nt
Organism: Aplysia californica (California sea hare)
Lineage: Eukaryota; Metazoa; Mollusca; Gastropoda; Aplysiida; Aplysiidae
Exons: 2
Source: RefSeq, a predicted model, not a curated record